This 744-nucleotide ribosomal RNA is filed under the name uncultured bacterium. Its description in RNAcentral is "bacterial SSU rRNA". It matches the Rfam family "Bacterial small subunit ribosomal RNA", at positions 8 to 796 of the family's 1533-position model. The record is from RNAcentral.
AGAGUUUGAUCCUGGCUCAGAACGAACGCUGGCGGCAUGCCUAACACAUGCAAGUCGAACGCGUGUAGCAAUACACGAGUGGCGCGCGGGUGAGUAAUACAUGGGAAUCUGCCCUGGAGUGGGGGAUAACCCGGCGAAAGCCGGGCUAAUACCGCAUACGACCUGAGGGUGAAAGAUUUAUCGCUCUAGGAGGAGCCCAUGUCGGAUUAGCUAGUUGGCGGGGUGACGGCCCACCAAGGCGACGAUCCGUAGCUGGUCUGAGAGGAUGAUCAGCCACACUGGGACUGAGACACGGCCCAGACUCCUACGGGAGGCAGCAGUGGGGAAUAUUGGACAAUGGGCGAAAGCCUGAUCCAGCAAUGCCGCGUGAGUGAUGAAGGCCUUAGGGUUGUAAAGCUCUUUCGGCGGGGACGAUGAUGACGGUACCCGCAGAAGAAGCCCCGGCUAACUUCGUGCCAGCAGCCGCGGUAAUACGAAGGGGGCAAGCGUUGUUCGGAAUUACUGGGCGUAAAGGGCGCGUAGGCGGCUCUGAUAGUCAGGCGUGAAAGCCCCGGGCUUAACCUGGGAACUGCGCUUGAUACUGCGGAGCUAGAGUUCGGGAGAGGAGAGUGGAAUUCCCAGUGUAGAGGUGAAAUUCGUAGAUAUUGGGAAGAACACCAGUGGCGAAGGCGGCUCUCUGGACCGAUACUGACGCUGAGGCGCGAAAGCGUGGGGAGCAAACAGGAUUAGAUACCCUAGUAGUCC